This 492-nucleotide ribosomal RNA is filed under the name uncultured bacterium. RNAcentral describes it as "partial 16S ribosomal RNA". It matches the Rfam family "Bacterial small subunit ribosomal RNA", at positions 29 to 507 of the family's 1533-position model. The record is from RNAcentral.
AGUGAACGCUGGCGGUAGGCCUAACACAUGCAAGUCGAACGGCAGCACAGUAAGAGCUUGCUCUUACGGGUGGCGAGUGGCGGACGGGUGAGGAAUACAUCGGAAUCUACUUUUUCGUGGGGGAUAACGUAGGGAAACUUACGCUAAUACCGCAUACGACCUACGGGUGAAAGCAGGGGAUCUUCGGACCUUGCGCGAUUGAAUGAGCCGAUGUCGGAUUAGCUAGUUGGCGGGGUAAAGGCCCACCAAGGCGACGAUCCGUAGCUGGUCUGAGAGGAUGAUCAGCCACACUGGAACUGAGACACGGUACAGACUCCUACGGGAGGCAGCAGUGGGGAAUAUUGGACAAUGGGAGCAAGCCUGAUCCAGCCAUACCGCGUGGGUGAAGAAGGCCUUCGGGUUGUAAAGCCCUUUUGUUGGGAAAGAAAAGCAGCAGGUUAAUACCCCGCUGUUCUGACGGUACCAAAAGAAUAAGCACCGGCUAACUUCGUG